This 431-nucleotide ribosomal RNA is filed under the name uncultured bacterium. Its description in RNAcentral is "partial 16S ribosomal RNA". It matches the Rfam family "Bacterial small subunit ribosomal RNA", at positions 29 to 507 of the family's 1533-position model. The record is from RNAcentral.
AGCGAACGCUGGCGGCAGGCUUAACACAUGCAAGUCGAGCGCCCCGCAAGGGGAGCGGCAGCCGGGAGAGUAGCACGUGGGAACAUACCUAUUGGUUCGGCACGACCGAGGGAUACUUAAGAUAAUACCGGAUAAGGCCUAACGGGGAAAGAGUUAUCGCGGAAGGAUUGGGCCGCGUCUGAUUUGCUAGUUGGUGAGGUAACGGCUCACCAAGGCGACGAUCAGUAGCUGGUCUGAGAGGAUGAUCAGCCUCACUGGGACUGAGACACGGACCAGACUCCUACGGGAAGCAGCAGUGGGGAAUAUUGGACAAUGGGGGCAACCCUGAUCCAGCCAUGCCGCGUGAGUGAUGAAGGCCUUAGGGUUGUAAAGCUCUUUUGCCCGGGAAGAUAAUGACGGUACCGGGAGAAUAAGCCCCAGCUAACUUCGUG